RNAcentral lists this ribosomal RNA (727 nucleotides) under uncultured bacterium. Its description in RNAcentral is "bacterial SSU rRNA". It matches the Rfam family "Bacterial small subunit ribosomal RNA", at positions 140 to 853 of the family's 1533-position model. The record is from RNAcentral.
GGGAUAACACUUGGAAACAGGUGCUAAUACCGUAUAACACUAUUUUCCGCAUGGAAGAAAGUUGAAAGGCGCUUUUGCGUCACUGAUGGAUGGACCCGCGGUGCAUUAGCUAGUUGGUGAGGUAACGGCUCACCAAGGCCACGAUGCAUAGCCGACCUGAGAGGGUGAUCGGCCACACUGGGACUGAGACACGGCCCAGACUCCUACGGGAGGCAGCAGUAGGGAAUCUUCGGCAAUGGACGAAAGUCUGACCGAGCAACGCCGCGUGAGUGAAGAAGGUUUUCGGAUCGUAAAACUUUGUUGUUAGAGAAGAACAAGGAUGAGAGUAAAAUGUUCAUCCCUUGACGGUAUCUAACCAGAAAGCCACGGCUAACUACGUGCCAGCAGCCGCGGUAAUACGUAGGUGGCAAGCGUUGUCCGGAUUUAUUGGGCGUAAAGCGAGCGCAGGCGGUUUCUUAAGUCUGAUGUGAAAGCCCCCGGCUCAACCGGGGAGGGUCAUUGGAGACUGGGAGACUUGAGUGCAGAAGAGGAGAGUGGAAUUCCAUGUGUAGCGGUGAAAUGCGUAGAUAUAUGGAGGAACACCAGUGGCGAAGGCGGCUCUCUGGUCUGUAACUGACGCGGAGGCUCGAAAGCGUGGGGAGCGAACAGGAUUAGAUACCCUGGUAGUCCACGCCGUAAACGAUGAGUACUAAGUGUUGGAGGGUUUCCGCCCUUCAGUGCUGCAGCA